CAGGAGUUUUUUGACAAACUGCUGCUCCAACUUCAGGAAGGCUUUUGAGGAUCUUCCUAAUCAGAUUGAGUUUUGAUUUUUGGAGCAGAGAGUCGCGAGGAGAAGAUGAUCCAGGUCCUGCCUGAGUGGAUACUGUUAGAGGCCAGAUGAUUGCGUGGCUAAAUCAGAACCUCAGACUUGCUGUGAUCAUCUAUAGGGUAAUCAGAUUACCCUUGAGGUAUUUCAUGUUUCCUCAUGCUUUUAGAUUUAUUUUAAAAUUAAUAUCAGAUAAUAAAAUUAGAUCUAGAGAUUUAGAUCUGA
RNAcentral lists this long non-coding RNA (300 nucleotides) under Elaeis guineensis (African oil palm). RNAcentral's name for it is "long non-coding RNA (EGUI_LNC066065)". Lineage: Eukaryota; Viridiplantae; Streptophyta; Magnoliopsida; Arecales; Arecaceae. The record is from RNAcentral.